GUAUGGGUUUGUAAAGAGUCACUGGUGAUCCCAGCAGCAUUUAAACGCUUUGGAUAUUAAGACAAUAUUAUAAUAUUAAGAUAGAUACCAUGCUUAGGUGUUACCAGUAUUUCCGUUUCUGUAACAAACUCAACAAACACUGGAUGGAAUGAGUUGUUAGGUAGUCUAAUUAUUUUUCUUUUAUUAGAUUUCAGCUGUCUGGGCCCACAUUACAUGCAGUUUUGUUGCAUCUCCUUUUAGAUGACAUCUACAGUUUGACCAGUUCAACUUGCCUGUUGAAAAGUAACAUUUCAUUUUCUCACCUGAGUAAAGGUUUGGCAAAUUGGGGCUGCAGAGUUUCACAUUGAUGAGGGCGUCACAUUGAUCCCAGUGCAUGCAAGGAGGUGUGCACGUCAGGUGCGCUGUACUACAGGCAAACCAUGGACAACAGACUGAUGCAGUUCUGUGCAGGCCAUAGCCCAUAAUGUGGCCUUCCAGGGUGGAACUCUUCAAUGAAACUCAUUAUCCUCCGAAGCAGAUACUGAUGCAAACGGACUACAAAUCAGACAAAUGGCAGGAUCAUAUAUCCACGCUGGCCACGCGACGCUCGUGCGGUGAUCAAUAAAGUUUCAUCAUAUGUUAACUACACAGCUGUGCCGCUCUUCACCGAGAAUCCAUAAACAAUGGCAUGUGGCGAUAUUUAUUAUUUUAAA
This is a long non-coding RNA of Acanthopagrus latus (yellowfin seabream), 692 nucleotides long. RefSeq lists it as uncharacterized. The record is from RefSeq and is a predicted model, not a curated record. Lineage: Eukaryota; Metazoa; Chordata; Actinopteri; Spariformes; Sparidae. The transcript is spliced from 4 exons.